RNAcentral lists this ribosomal RNA (253 nucleotides) under uncultured bacterium. RNAcentral's name for it is "partial 16S ribosomal RNA". It matches the Rfam family "Bacterial small subunit ribosomal RNA", at positions 524 to 776 of the family's 1533-position model. The record is from RNAcentral.
UACGUAGGGGGCGAGCGUUACCCGGAUUUACUGGGCGUAAAGCGCGUGUAGGCGGCUGGUCAAGCGUGGUGUGAAAUCUCCGGGCUCAACCAUGGAAGUGCAUUCGAAACUGCAGAGCUAGAGUCCUGGAGAGGAAGGUGGAAUGCUUGGUGUAGAGGUGAAAUUCGUAGAUAUCAAGCGGAACACCGGUGGCGAAGGCGGCCUUCUGGACAGUGACUGACGCUGAGACGCGAAAGCGUGGGGAGCAAACAGG